GGAUUGCGAGAAAGGAAUCAACACAGAUCGUGUCCGCAUGUUUGGUCCUGAGUGAGAGACUCUCCAAAGCUGUCUUAGACAAGAAAUGGGAUCGAGCCAGAGUUGUCUGCUCUCAGCCUUUUUAAUAAGUUUGCAGGUAUAUGGUUCCCACAAGGGAUGACAGCUCAAGCCAUGAGGAAAAGGGUGAAACAGAGGAUGAAGAAGACGGGGAACCAAGCAAGAGGAGUAGAGCAUCAUGCAAGAAAGCCACACCUAAUAAAGCAAUGCCUAAAACUGCCACGCCUAAAACUGACAUGCCUAAAGUAGACACACCCAAAGAUGCUCGACCUGUUGAUGAGGAUAACAAGGAAGAAGUUGCUGCCUUAACAAUGGCCUAUCAGGUCACAAGAAAACAAGAAAGUCAAAGCUAAGCCAAGCUCUACAGAUCCCUAUGAUAGUUCCACUGAUGAGGAACCCGACAACAAGACACCAGACCCUCCAGUCUCUCCAUCGUUGCCUACUGCUGUACCUGACCUGCCUGACUUCUUUGCUGGGAAGGUGUUUUCCUCUUUGGGAUGUUUGAAGCAGAAGAGAGGAGGCAGUUGACAAGACUUAUUGUAGCAUUUGAAGGGUAUGUGUACAUGUAAUUUGUCAUUACAAAGUUUGAGUUGGGAAAGCCAUAUUGAAAAAUCUAUAUCAGGUUUCUUGGCGGUGAGAAAAAUUGCUGGAGAAUUUAUUGGGAUCCUGGUGGGAGGUUGGUGGGAUCAUUUUAUGGGAAGUUUGAAGCAGAGGAGAGAAGACAGUUGACAAGACUUAUUGUAGCACUUGAAGGGUACAAGUGUACGUGUGAUUUGCCGUUACAAAAUAUUUUAAGUUGGGAAAGGUCAA
Asterias rubens (European starfish) is the source of this 867-nucleotide long non-coding RNA. RefSeq lists it as uncharacterized. The transcript is spliced from 3 exons. Lineage: Eukaryota; Metazoa; Echinodermata; Asteroidea; Forcipulatida; Asteriidae. The record is from RefSeq and is a predicted model, not a curated record.